AAAGUGAAAGGGGCAAAGAAGAUCUUAGCAAAAAGUUGGAGCCCAUUCUCCUCACUUCAAAAAAACAAAACAACGCUAUCAGAGAACUCGAAGCUACUACUACGGACAUCUCCGACACAACGGCAAAGACUGAAGGAAGAUCUAGACCGGGUUUCUGGGCAACUGGCCAGCAUGACCGACAAAUGCCUAGAUCUUGAA
Amblyraja radiata (thorny skate) is the source of this 198-nucleotide long non-coding RNA. RefSeq lists it as uncharacterized. The transcript is spliced from 3 exons. The record is from RefSeq and is a predicted model, not a curated record. NCBI's taxonomy places the organism in Eukaryota, Metazoa, Chordata, Chondrichthyes, Rajiformes, Rajidae.